Molecule: ribosomal RNA, 685 nt
Filed under: uncultured Staphylococcus sp.
Lineage: Bacteria; Bacillati; Bacillota; Bacilli; Caryophanales; Staphylococcaceae
Description: bacterial SSU rRNA
Rfam family: Bacterial small subunit ribosomal RNA
Source: RNAcentral
ACGAGGAGCUUGCUUCUCUGACGUUAGCGGCGGACGGGUGAGUAACACGUGGAUAACCUACCUAUAAGACUGGGAUAACUUCGGGAAACCGGAGCUAAUACCGGAUAAUAUAUUGAACCGCAUGGUUCAAUAGUGAAAGACGGUUUUGCUGUCACUUAUAGAUGGAUCCGCGCCGCAUUAGCUAGUUGGUAAGGUAACGGCUUACCAAGGCAACGAUGCGUAGCCGACCUGAGAGGGUGAUCGGCCACACUGGAACUGAGACACGGUCCAGACUCCUACGGGAGGCAGCAGUAGGGAAUCUUCCGCAAUGGGCGAAAGCCUGACGGAGCAACGCCGCGUGAGUGAUGAAGGUCUUCGGAUCGUAAAACUCUGUUAUUAGGGAAGAACAAAUGUGUAAGUAACUAUGCACGUCCUGACGGUACCUAAUCAGAAAGCCACGGCUAACUACGUGCCAGCAGCCGCGGUAAUACGUAGGUGGCAAGCGUUAUCCGGAAUUAUUGGGCGUAAAGCGCGCGUAGGCGGUUUUUUAAGUCUGAUGUGAAAGCCCACGGCUCAACCGUGGAGGGUCAUUGGAAACUGGAAAACUUGAGUGCAGAAGAGGAAAGUGGAAUUCCAUGUGUAGCGGUGAAAUGCGCAGAGAUAUGGAGGAACACCAGUGGCGAAGGCGACUUUCUGGUCUGUAACU